CCUACGGGUGGCAGCAGUAGGGAAUAUUGCUCAAUGGGCGCAACCCUGACGCAGCAAUGCCGCGUGGAGGAUGAAGGCUUUCGGAUUGUAAACUCCUUUUGUUAGAGAAGAUAAUGACGGUAUCUACCGAAUACGCACCGGCUAACUCAGUGCCAGCAGCCGCGGUAAUAUGCCGGGUGCAAGCGUUACUCGGAGUUACUGGGCGUAAAGGGCGCGUAGGCGGGGUAGCAAGUCAGAUGUGAAAUCCUAUGGCUUAACCAUAGAACUGCAUUUGAAACUGUUAUUCUAGAGUAUGGGAGAGGUAGGUGGAAUUCUUGGUGUAGCGGUAAAAUGCGUAGAGAUCAAGAGGAAUACUCAUUGCGAAGGCGACCUGCUAGAACAUAACUGACGGUGAGGCGCGAAAGCGUGGGGAGCAAACAGGAUUAGAUACCCGAGUAGUC
This 440-nucleotide ribosomal RNA is filed under the name uncultured bacterium. RNAcentral describes it as "partial 16S ribosomal RNA". It matches the Rfam family "Bacterial small subunit ribosomal RNA", at positions 338 to 795 of the family's 1533-position model. The record is from RNAcentral.